RNAcentral lists this ribosomal RNA (253 nucleotides) under uncultured bacterium. RNAcentral describes it as "partial 16S ribosomal RNA". It matches the Rfam family "Bacterial small subunit ribosomal RNA", at positions 524 to 776 of the family's 1533-position model. The record is from RNAcentral.
UACAGAAGGUGCAAGCGUUAAUCGGAAUUACUGGGCGUAAAGGGUGCGUAGGUGGUUUAAUAAGUUAAGUGUGAAAGCCCCGGGCUUAACCUGGGAACUGCGCUUAAUACUGUUGGACUAGAGUAUUGUAGAGGAAGGUGGAAUUUCCAGUGUAGCGGUGAAAUGCGUAGAUAUUGGAAGGAACAUCAGUGGCGAAGGCGACUUUCUGGACAGAUACUGACACUGAGGCACGAAAGCAUGGGGAGCAAACAGG